RNAcentral lists this ribosomal RNA (135 nucleotides) under Umbilicaria esculenta. RNAcentral's name for it is "5.8S ribosomal RNA". It matches the Rfam family "5.8S ribosomal RNA", at positions 22 to 154 of the family's 154-position model. Rfam says of the family: 5.8S ribosomal RNA (5.8S rRNA) is a component of the large subunit of the eukaryotic ribosome. It is transcribed by RNA polymerase I as part of the 45S precursor that also contains 18S and 28S rRNA. Lineage: Eukaryota; Fungi; Ascomycota; Lecanoromycetes; Umbilicariales; Umbilicariaceae. The record is from RNAcentral.
UGGUUCUGGCAUCGAUGAAGAACGCAGCGAAAUGCGAUAAGUAAUGUGAAUUGCAGAAUUCAGUGAAUCAUCGAAUCUUUGAACGCACAUUGCGCCCCCUGGUAUUCCGGGGGGCAUGCCUGUUCGAGCGUCAUU